RNAcentral lists this ribosomal RNA (253 nucleotides) under uncultured bacterium. RNAcentral describes it as "partial 16S ribosomal RNA". It matches the Rfam family "Bacterial small subunit ribosomal RNA", at positions 524 to 776 of the family's 1533-position model. The record is from RNAcentral.
CACGUAGGGCGCGAGCGUUGUCCGGAAUUAUUGGGUGUAAAGAGCUCGUAGGCGGCCUGUUGCGUCCGCUGUGAAAGCCCGGGGCUUAACCCCGGGUCGGCAGUGGAUACGGGCAGGCUAGAGGUAGGUAGGGGAGAAUGGAAUUCCCGGUGUAGCGGUGAAAUGCGCAGAUAUCGGGAGGAACACCGGUGGCGAAGGCGGUUCUCUGGGCCUUACCUGACGCUGAGGAGCGAAAGCGUGGGGAGCGAACAGG